AUGCUGAAUAUCAGUAGGUUUGGUGUUUUUUUUCUUCUUUUUAUUUCUGAGCCCUGUUUAUUUUGUUAUAGUAUUGCAUCUUAUUUCCCAGCUCAAUACAUAUGGGUCAAGUGGAUGCCCUUGUCAAUGCUUGGAAAGAAUUAUUUCUCUUGUUUUUGCUUGGUACAUAAUUUUUAA
Vicia faba (fava bean) is the source of this 177-nucleotide non-coding RNA. The record is from the annotation of a GenBank genome assembly. NCBI's taxonomy places the organism in Eukaryota, Viridiplantae, Streptophyta, Magnoliopsida, Fabales, Fabaceae.